Molecule: ribosomal RNA, 709 nt
Filed under: uncultured Bacillota bacterium
Lineage: Bacteria; Bacillati; Bacillota
Description: bacterial SSU rRNA
Rfam family: Bacterial small subunit ribosomal RNA
Source: RNAcentral
AAAGCGAGCGCAGGCGGUUGCUUAGGUCUGAUGUGAAAGCCUUCGGCUUAACCGAAGAAGUGCAUCGGAAACCGGGCAACUUGAGUGCAGAAGAGGACAGUGGAACUCCAUGUGUAGCGGUGGAAUGCGUAGAUAUAUGGAAGAACACCAGUGGCGAAGGCGGCUGUCUGGUCUGCAACUGACGCUGAGGCUCGAAAGCAUGGGUAGCGAACAGGAUUAGAUACCCUGGUAGUCCAUGCCGUAAACGAUGAGUGCUAGGUGUUGGAGGGUUUCCGCCCUUCAGUGCCGGAGCUAACGCAUUAAGCACUCCGCCUGGGGAGUACGACCGCAAGGUUGAAACUCAAAGGAAUUGACGGGGGCCCGCACAAGCGGUGGAGCAUGUGGUUUAAUUCGAAGCUACGCGAAGAACCUUACCAGGUCUUGACAUCUUGCGCUAACCUUAGAGAUAAGGCGUUCCCUUCGGGGACGCAAUGACAGGUGGUGCAUGGUCGUCGUCAGCUCGUGUCGUGAGAUGUUGGGUUAAGUCCCGCAACGAGCGCAACCCUUGUUACUAGUUGCCAGCAUUAAGUUGGGCACUCUAGUGAGACUGCCGGUGACAAACCGGAGGAAGGUGGGGACGACGUCAGAUCAUCAUGCCCCUUAUGACCUGGGCUACACACGUGCUACAAUGGACGGUACAACGAGUCGCAAGCUCGCGAGAGUAAGCUAA